UACGGGGGGAGCAAGCGUUGUUCGGAUUUACUGGGCGUAAAGGGCGCGUAGGCGGCGUGACAAGUCACUUGUGAAAUCUCCGGGCUUAACUCGGAACGGUCAAGUGAUACUGUCGGACUAGAGUACAGAAGGGGCAACUGGAAUUCUCGGUGUAGCGGUGAAAUGCGUAGAUAUCUGGAGGAACACCCGUGGUGCAGACGGCUUGCUGGACCGUGACUGACGCUGAGGCACGAAAGCGUGGGUAGCAAACAGG
RNAcentral lists this ribosomal RNA (253 nucleotides) under uncultured bacterium. Its description in RNAcentral is "partial 16S ribosomal RNA". It matches the Rfam family "Bacterial small subunit ribosomal RNA", at positions 524 to 776 of the family's 1533-position model. The record is from RNAcentral.